GAGGCAUUUCUUUCUUUAUACCUCUGCCAAACUUGGUGGCGGCACCACCUCCAAGUUUGGCAGACCUAAUAAUGGCGCUUCCCGAUCUUUCCAACCCUUUUGGCCUAUAUAUGCUUAAGGUGUAUAUAUAUAUAUAUAUAUAUAUAUAUAUAUAUAUAUAUAUAUAUAUAUAUAUGUAUAUGUGGCACACAGGGUGAAGCCAGGCAAAACAAGAAAUCACCUCAAAGUAAUCAAAGAGACAAGAGCAAAUAUAUAUAUAUAUUAUAUAUUAUUCUGGUGUAGUAUUAGGUUUUACUGAUUCAAAACGAUUACGACAACUGUUUGGAUUCUUGGAUCUGCCAUUGAUUGUAACAUUCAGGUAAUAUAUUAUUCAUUAUUAGUUA
Molecule: long non-coding RNA, 383 nt
Organism: Ricinus communis (castor bean)
Lineage: Eukaryota; Viridiplantae; Streptophyta; Magnoliopsida; Malpighiales; Euphorbiaceae
Exons: 2
Source: RefSeq, a predicted model, not a curated record